This 66-nucleotide transfer RNA is filed under the name Onthophagus damaki. RNAcentral's name for it is "tRNA-Cys". The record is from RNAcentral. Lineage: Eukaryota; Metazoa; Arthropoda; Insecta; Coleoptera; Scarabaeidae.
AGCUUUAUAGUCAAAUAAAUGAUAUUAAAUUGCAAAUUUAAAGUUGAAUAAUUAUUUCUUAAGCUU